CCAAACCUAACUAUGCUACUCUCCCAUACAUAGGCCCACUUUCAUACCAAAUAGCAAACUUAUAUAAAAAGAAGAAAAAUAUCAGAAUCAGCUUUUCCACAAAUAAUAAAUUACAACAAAAAGUAAUCCAUGAUGUAAACACCUCCAAGAGUCCCUACCGUAAAUCAGGAAUAUACAAACUCAAAUGUGAUACAUGCCCAAAAUUCUACAUUGGACAGACAGGCAGAAGUUUUGAAACUAGAUACAAAGAACAUAUUGACGCUCUAAGACUUGGUAACUUAAACAAAUCAGCAUUUGCAGCCCAUAUUGCUGAAGAAAACCAUUCAGUGGGAAAUAUUGAGGAGAACUUAAAGAUUUUGCAUCUAACUGAAAAAGGAGCCACUAUGAAUAUAUUGGAAGAAUUAGAAAUACACACACACAAAAACAGCACCCCAGACUAUAUCCUUAACGAACAAACAGAGUUGGCUAACACCCCUUUCCUGAAAAAUUUCCAAAAAUCACUUUCCAGCCUCCAAAGCAAAUAAUAUUAAUACACCUAUCUGCAGAUCAAGUAGAAAAUUUAUAUGUUAGUAUAAUUCUCAUGCUGCCAAAUGUAAUAAAAUAAUAUACUAUUUUACCUAUACAGUUCUAAAUAUACAUAAAAAACUUUAUAAUUAAAUUAGCAAUAACAGAUAUAUAUUAAAAAAAUAAAAAAAAAUUCAAUCUCUCUGUACUAAUGUAAAAGACAUUACAGUUUUGUAAAAGAAUAUAUGAUCCUUUCCAAACAUAGGACAUCAUUGUCAAAUGUUACGAUAUAUCAUAGCAUCUGUGACACCCAUAUUAGUGAUGGGCUAAACUGCGAUUUUCCGAUAUCAGUGAUUUCUGUGAAUGCUACUUUUCAGUAUCUGUUAUUCUUAACUGUGAUUUGUCGCAGUUAAGAGUCGCAGUUAAGGAACAUAGUUCGUGUAUCCCUCCGCCACUGCUAUUUCUGCGAUUUCUGCUACUUCCGCGAUUUCUGCUACUUCUGCGAUUUCUGUGACUUCUGCUACUUCUGCGAUUUCUGCGAUUUCUGUGACUUCUGCUACUUCUGCGAUUUCUGUGAUUCCUGCUACUUACCACCGUAUGAAAAAGUUACAUCUGUCAACACAGAAAAUUGCAUCUCAACAAACCUGUCAUUGGCAAGUACCUGAACUACAUUUCAGUCACUCAGUAAAGUGAUAACUCAAAAUAUCAUUGUCAACAGAUCUGAAGAAAUUGCCACAGCGUCUUUAGACCGUUUUCGUCAGACGAGAGACACAGUUCUGACUCUGAUUACUGGUUGCUGUACGUAUCUAACCACAUCAAGGCUGUUUUUGAGAGAGACUCUUGAAGAUUCAAGACAGCUCUUACGAUUUGCAGUUUAAAAGUGAAA
This is a long non-coding RNA of Schistocerca cancellata (South American locust), 1390 nucleotides long. RefSeq lists it as uncharacterized. The record is from RefSeq and is a predicted model, not a curated record. Lineage: Eukaryota; Metazoa; Arthropoda; Insecta; Orthoptera; Acrididae. The transcript is spliced from 3 exons.